RNAcentral lists this unclassified non-coding RNA (662 nucleotides) under Hevea brasiliensis (rubber tree). Lineage: Eukaryota; Viridiplantae; Streptophyta; Magnoliopsida; Malpighiales; Euphorbiaceae. The record is from RNAcentral.
UCAGACACAGUACUAAAACCAUUCAAACCAGCUGUGGUUCUUGAAUCGCCUGGGCUAGGGGAAAUAUCGGCUACAGGGGAGCUUGCUGUUGCAGGUGGCCCUCUAAUGGACAUUCCUCUGGCAAGCCCACCUUGGGGACCCAAAGUAAUUGAAUCAUCACCAAGAGGCCGAGGCAAGGGAACCGACAAAGUCCUAGCCUCGUGAGAUUGCCUCUCCUCAAAACGAACAUCCUGGGUCCCAUACCCACGAACCUGAUUAGGCAAACCAUGGAAACCUCCCAUCUGAGAAUUUGGGGAAGGUAGCAUCGCUGAACCUCUUGGCCCAAAAUCCAUAGGUGCCCUUCUCGCAGAGGGAUUGAUGCUAGGAUUGCGAACCAACCUACUAGCUUGAUUAUGUCGUUCUUGUGCAGCAUCUCUGUGUACUUCCUCAAUCUUUUUUGGCCCUUCAACCUUCCUCCUCUGCUGCCAUUUGUUUUUUCUCAGAUCAAUGGCAUCCUUCAACAUGAACCUAACCCUUGAAGACAGUUUCAUGUUGUUUGAUAGCAUUGUUAUCCUGUCAAAAUAGGCAUCCAUAUGCUCCUUGGCUUUGGGAUGGUCAAUCAGAUCUCCAAUUGUGCUCAUUAGCUUGCACAGUGCCUCAACAUCUUCCUCAUCAGGAUUCUG